Molecule: ribosomal RNA, 253 nt
Filed under: uncultured bacterium
Lineage: Bacteria
Also listed under: 1 other name
Description: partial 16S ribosomal RNA
Rfam family: Bacterial small subunit ribosomal RNA
Source: RNAcentral
UACGGAGGGUGCGAGCGUUGUCCGGAAUCACUGGGCGUAAAGGGCGCGUAGGUGGCGCCGCAAGUCAACGGUGAAAGCUCGACGCUUAACGUCGAGUCGGCCGUCGAGACUGCGGGGCUCGAGCACUGUAGAGGCUCAUGGAAUUCCGGGUGUAGCGGUGGAAUGCGUAGAGAUCCGGAAGAACACCGGUGGCGAAGGCGGUGAGCUGGGCAGUUGCUGACACUGAGGCGCGACAGCGUGGGGAGCAAACAGG